This 26-nucleotide non-coding RNA is filed under the name Cricetulus griseus (Chinese hamster). Lineage: Eukaryota; Metazoa; Chordata; Mammalia; Rodentia; Cricetidae. The record is from RNAcentral.
UAGCUGUUGUGGAAGAAAGCAAAGAC